Molecule: non-coding RNA, 12520 nt
Organism: Nothobranchius furzeri (turquoise killifish)
Lineage: Eukaryota; Metazoa; Chordata; Actinopteri; Cyprinodontiformes; Nothobranchiidae
Source: RefSeq, a predicted model, not a curated record
CCGUUUUGGGUGCCUGCGUGUGGACAGACAAAACCGGAGUUUUAAGGUCCGCAGCGUCACUUUCCGCGACAAAAAAUGCUGACAUCACGUGUGCGACCUGUGUUUACACUAGCCGACAGCAUGGAUGCCCUCAGAGCUGCGCUCUCUUUAUCAAUUGUCCAAGCGCUUUUUGCUUGUUUGUUUUUGCAAGCGGAAUUACUGCUCCUUGCGGAAGACCACAGACGAAGGACGAGGUUAAGAACGGGGGAAGUACUGCCGCCUACAGGUCUGGCAUGUCCUUAACAACGUAUUUAUCCAGGUACGUGUGGACAGAGUUUUGUUUUAAAACGCGGUGGUGUGGAUGCAAGUUUUUGGAGGGGCGGAUAUUCGUUUUCAAAAAACCCGGCUACGUGUGGACUAGGCCUAAGUACCUGGAGCAGGUGGACCAGCUGUACGACGACUCCUUCCCCAUGGACAUCCGACAAUAUCUGAGCAGGUGGAUUGAGAGCAUUGACUGGGAUACGGUGGCAUCACAGGACUACCUGGCUACUGUUCGGUUUCACGAGCUCCUGGCUCAGCUGGAUGAUCAGCACAGCCGCUUUGCUCUGGAGAACAACUUCCUGCAGCAGCACAACUUCCGUAAGAUCAAGAGGAACCUGCAGGAUCGGUUUCAGGAGGACACCCUCCAUAUGGCCAUGAUCAUCUCCAGAAACUUGAAAGAGGAGCAGAAGAUCUUGGCCAAUGCAAAGGAUUCUGUGCAGGAGAAGGAGGGGACGGUUUCAGCCAUGGUGGUGGAGAAGCAGAAGCUGGACAACAAAGUGAAGGAGAUGAGAAACAUUGUUCAGAUUAUCGACCAGAACCUGAAGAAUCUGGAGGACCAGCAGGAUGAAUACGAUUUCCAAUUCAACACACUGAAGAACAGAGAGAACGACGUGAACGGCAUGACGCCAAAGGAGCUGGAGGCAGAGAAGUUAGUCAUCAUGAAGAUGUGCCUUGAACUGAAAGCCAAACGCCACGAUGCCGUGGUGUACCUGAAUGAACUACUGAAUGUCAUCCAGGGGUUGAUAACCGACCUGAUCUCCGAGGAGCUGCCAGAGUGGAAACAGCUGCAGCAGAUAGCGUGCAUUGGCGGUCCGCCCAAUGCUUGCGUGGACCAGCUGCAGGACUGGUGAGACCGUUGUUGUCCCACAAGCUUUAGAUAAACUUUAUUUUCUUCUGUUGAGUUACCAAGAAAUCUGAGACAUCAGGAGAAGGCAUCAAGCUGGAGUUCACAUCUGACAGACAUCUGGAUCUAGAAGUAUCAGAACAAUACACAAGGUUGGAGAUUAUGGUAGUUUUUGGAUCUAAUGGAACCUGAAUUUUCCCCCAAAUCCCUAAAAUUAGCGUUAAUAUCAAUCCAAGUCAAUUAAGAUUAAGGGUUUAAAUGAAGGUGAUGAGACCAGAGGGGCUUGGUGUGGUCCUGAUACAGGGUCUUAAAAAGUCGUAAAAGUCUUGAAUUUGAUGAAAGGAAAAUUAAGACCCUUAAAAGUCUUAAAUCGAUUUAGUAAAGUCUUAAAUUUGGUUCGUAUUGACGUGAUUUUAAAAUACGUUUGUCUCAUACUUGCAAACUUGACGCUUUUCAGCGAAAAUUGCCGUUUAUGAAACCAAAUGCUUUCACAUGAAUCAAAGAGUUUUUGUUUUAGGGAAGGUGAGUCUUUGGUCGGAUUUCAGUCGCUCUUUAUAAGAAUCAGUUUCAGAAAAAUGAGGAGUGUUCAUCCUCUUCACAAACCAUCUUUGUUAGUGGGUCACGAGUUGCCAUUUGACCAAUCACAGUCACGAAGACAGCUAGGGAAAAACGCUGUGGUAGCCGAUAUCACGGCACCGCUACUACUGUCGCCUCAACAUCUGGCAGCGGUUGGAACUUAAAGUUCGUAAAAUCGUCAAAAUCCCCUCCAGAUACGUCAGUUUUCUGUCCAGAACUUUAGCAGGUUUGUCUCCUUUCAGUUUCAGCCUUAACUGAUGUUUCCCGAGGCUUGUGCUCUUUUUUUUUGGAGGGGGCGGGAAGUUGAGUUCAAUCAAGUGUUGGUCAAAAACAGCUUUCCCAGUAAUUAGACAGGUUCAUCCUUACCUAAAGAAGAUUCUGGCAGACAAGGUGCUGCGGUUGUUGUUUCAGGUGCAUGCAGGCUAAACCCUAUAGGCACGUCUUCUCUACAUGUUAUAUAAGAGAUUUGAAAUCAAGAAGAAGAAAAACUUGCAAAACAAUAUGGAUCUGUUCUCAGUGAGAUGUUAUUAGUGGAAAAUAAACAUAAAUACGUCUAAAGACGUUACUGGUACUUUUACUAUCAUUCUGUUGUGGAAAGUCAGCACAAAUAUUCAGUGAAAACUUUAAAAUGCUGCUUAAACCUUCAUUAUGUUAUAGUGGGCCUGUCUAUAUUUAUAAAACCAGUUGAUUGUUUAAAGUAACUGUAACUAAAGUUACUCAGAGCCACAGUAGAAGGUCCAGCCUAAGUCACGCCGGGGACACACCGGCCGCCGAAGCGCCGGGAGGCGAAGUGCUCACGAAAUUUGGCCGCUGCUCGCUGCUCCUCAGUUCCGACCAGACGCUUGUUUCUCCGCUCCGGUCGAGGCGCGCCUCGUAGUUUUUCUUUUAAUCACUUGGUGUCCUCCAUUUCCUCUCCGCCUUUUCUCUGCUCUUUUCCUCUACACCCCCUCCCCCUUGCUGUGUGUGUGUGUGUGUGUGUGUGUGUGUGUGUGUGUGUGUGUGUGUGUGUGUGUGUGUGUGUGUGUGUGUGUGUGUGUGUGUGUGUGUGUGUGUGUGUGUGUGUGUGAACCUAUGGUGUGAACCAGUUGUUAAUAGCUGGCCUACGACUUUCUGCCUCUCUGUCCUGUUUGCUCCGGUUGAAAGACACCCAAAACCACACCCCCUUCACGUGGUCACACACACACACACAAGUUCGCUGUGUGUGUGUGGUUUUUAUGCAGCGUCUGUUUACAAACACAUUUGACUAUCGCGUAAUUUUAUUUUGAAAUGCUUACUUUGUUAAAUUUACCGGCCUGCCUCUUAUGUCUAGGUUUCACUUCCUGCCAGAAUUCACGCGGUUCACCCACGGCUCGCAAAAAAAAUAGAGCAGACGCCGAAACGAUCGCUGCACGGCACGGGCUGGAGCGCCGGCGCGCAGCGCUUCGAUUCGGCGGCCCAUGUGAUCUAUACAAUAGGAUAACAAGGGCGCUGAAUGAAGGCGGUCCCAAUUUCGCGGCGCUUCAGCGGCCGGUGUGUCCCCGGCGUUAAGCUGUGGUAACUGGAGAGGAACCGAGAAACAGUAUUAAACCUUGCUGUUUGCUUUUUCCCGUUUAAUUCAAAUAGAACAUAUAAGACAUCAAUUAUAUAAUAAUUGUAUGUAUAUUUAACAUUCAUGUUAUAGGUGAAAGGCAGAAUAGAUUAAAGAAAAAAACUUUAUCUGGUUACAUUGAAGCUUCACGUCCCACAGUGAGUAGUCUCUGUCUCACAUGUGGUGAGUUGGGAUCUGGUCAUCCUACUUAAGAAUGAUUACAGUAAUUUGGAAUAUUUUCAAAUGUUUUUAUGUUUGGUGUUUUGUGAAUUAGUUUCAUAAUAAUAGUUAGUUAUUAUAUGAUGAUCCCUAAUCAUUAUCUGAUUUGUUAUUUCAUUUUAUUAAAUUUAGCUCUCUUGAACAGUAGGACUGGUAGAAAAUAGCUUGCAUUUUGCAAAAACGUCACAUUAAAAAAUAUAUUUUUUUAAUGUUCUCAAUAAAAUAAAAGUAUAUAAAUGUCAGAGGUCACUACAAAACCCACUGUAGAAUAGAUGCACAUCUGCAGCACGUGAGGACAUUGUUUGGGGGGAGUUAUUUUAGUUGUCACAUUUUUCACAUCCUCGGAGUUCGUGGCUAUGAAAAAUAGAUGCAUGUAAACUAAAAAAAUAUAUCUUUUGUUCUUCUAUGCACGCGGUUUGCAUUUUUGUACCACGUGGCUUUACAUAUUAUUGCUACAGCCUCGCUGUCCCGGAUGUGACGUAACCAAGCCCCCACAAUGCGGCUCUAAAACUGGUCCCAACCCGGAAGAAAGAGAAAUUGCAGUUCCACCCUCAUCCGCUGGGGGCUGGUACCAAAAGCGAGCAAAUCCUCGUUGACUCCCAUGAUAAAAAUGCCAAUUUCACAGCAGAAAUAAACAUGUUUACAGCCUGGUACCAAAACAUGUUUUUUUGUCUAAAUUAUCUAGUUUAUACUCAUGACACCUCUGAGGGGGGUGAAUUUUUUUCUCACUCUUCUGUUUAAGUGCAUUGAAAGCCUAAAAUUCUGUAUAAUUAAUGAGCAUCCGACACACGUGACCGCCGCCUCAGACCCACGUGACCACAGAGCUAGCUCCGUGGAAAGGCCUCAGUACAGCCUCAGUGUCUCCUGGAAACUGUUUCGGGAUUUUGAGUCUCUGUGCUUGUGAAUUCUGUUUUGGAUAUGUUUGGUGCAAUUGUUGGACAAAAUGACUUGCUGUGGUAUUAAUUGCACUAAUAGAGCGUCCAAGGAGUCUCCACUUCAUUUUUUUCGGUAAGUUAAAAUCUAUAUUUGUAUUUUAUGUCACUGCCGCCUUUAAACUAGCUGAGUUUACCGAAGUAGCUAGCUAACUAUCAGUUUAACAUGUAGCAUGUACUGUUUAACCAUGAAAUUUAAAUGUAAAAUACGGUAAAAUAAUUAAUAGGGCAUAUUUCGAUGGGUAAAAGGGUAAAACCCAGUGCAUUUAAGAUAAAAAUGGGUUGAAAUAUGACGGAGCGCUUGGGAGGGACACUUCUGUGUUCCAUUGUUCCAUCCGGUACUCCGCAGCGGUCAGGCCGGGCAGCCUGACCGAUGCGGCGGCUAGCUUUUGCGCGGGCUGACCGCUCGUGUAGUUCUCGGACUCGGAGACAGAUCUGACCGUGGGGGAAACCUGAGUACCCGGAGGAAAACCACGCAUGCAUGGGGAGAACACGCAACUCCACGCAGAAAGGUCGCAGCCGAGUUUCAAACCUGCAACUUUCAUGCUGUGAGGCAACAGUGCUAACAACUGUGUCACCAUGCAGCCAUUGAUGCCCGAAUGUUGUUCCUGACAUCAGACACUGGUCCUCCAUGUAGGUAUCCACCAUAUAGAUCAGGAGAGGGGCAGUUUCAGGAGUUCUGGUCUGCUUCUGGUCCAGCUGCUUCUUUAGGUGUUGCUAUGAUCGUCCAUUAAGAGGUCUGUUUAUAGGUUCAUCAUUCAUUUUUGUCGGACGUUCCCUAAUCCCAGCCUCUAAUCCCAUUCCAGCAGCUGUUUUCCUGGUUGAGACUGCAGGUGUUCUGUGGCAGUGAGUGAAUCCUCACAUUAAGGUUAAAUCAUCCAGACUGGAGGCUCAGAGCAUGUAAACACAAGGUGUUUCCACAGGGAUGCUAUAGAUUUGUUAAGGGUUAACGUUCCUUAAUCCCUUCAAAGGCUUUGUCACAAUUUAGACAGCCUCUCCAAAGUGUUGGGAAGGGAACGCCGUGAUGUUUCCUUCACUCGGAGUCAUAUAGACAGCAUGAUGGUUUGUGUGAUCCGCGCGGUUUCACUUACACCCCUUUAAUGAUCAGGCUGUUUUUAUUAUUUUUAUCAGCUGAUAGCAGUUAAAAUUAUGGUAAAAAAAACUUUUAUCUGUUUUUGAUAACUUAAUGCAUCUUCUCUAGACAUUAAAUAUAACCCAAAUGUUUUAUUAUGAGCAGAUCUGAUGAAGGUGUAGACAAGAAGUCUGCAAAGUAAAACUUGUUUAGAGUCCAAACUCUUACUAAAGCUUUUGAAAAGAAAAAAUGGUUGAAUUUUGAGAAAUAUCCACAGCAGGGGAGCGAGACCUCUGAAAAAUGUAUAUUUUCUCUGAACUCAUAGAAUAAUGUGAGGAUUCUGGGAAAAGUUGGGAUUCUGAGAUUAAAACGUAAAUCUAUCUAAUCAUAAUUCUGGCAGUUUUUGUGUCCUGCUGUGGAAAGUCGUGCAACAUGAAGAUACUGAGAAGAUGCUUAAAACCUGUAUUUUUAUUCCAUCCAUAAAUAAAAUCAUGAGCUAUUUUUUUAAUCCAAAUUUGAUCCAAAGGGCCAUCGUUGGUUCCAGACCCGUUCUAGAACAUUCCUCUAAUCUUAAAGUCAUCAUCAGUUUCUUCCUUUUAACAAAUAUUUAUUUGUUAAAAUAUUUAAUAUUUAUAACUGGAAUAUUUGUUCCUCCCUCUCACACUGCAGUUAGUCCUGUCCUGCAACACUGUUUUUGCAGCUUAGUGAAGCCAACCAUGUCAGACUCGAAGACUGGUUUCGGGAGUACGAGCUUUAUUAGAGACUGCUGGCUGCAAGCGGUGCUGGAAAGGCUGGCGGAAGGAUGAGGUCUGAGUUAGACAGGUGGAGGUUAAGCUGUAUUAGCUUCUGAAUACUCUGAUCAUGGAACACGGUGGAACGAUGACUGAGUGAAGAGCCGGUGUGGCGUCUUCCAUAUAUACAGUGGGGCAAAAAAGUAUUUAGUCAGCCACCGAUUGUGCAAGUUCUCCCACUUGAAAUGAUGACAGAGGUCAGUAAUUUACAUCAUAGGUACACUUCAACUGUGAGAGACAGAAUGUGAAAAAAAAUCCAUGAAUUCACAUGGCAGGAUUUUUAAAGAAUUUAUUUGUAAAUCAGGGUGGAAAAUAAGUAUUUGGUCAAUAACAAAAAUUCAACUCAAUACUUUGUAACAUAACCUUUGUUGGCAAUAACAGAGGUCGAACGAUUACUAUAGGUCUUUAACAGGUUUGCACACACAGUAGCUGGUAUUUUGGCCCAUUCCUCCAUGCAGAUUUUCUCGAGAGCAGUGAUGUUUUGGGGCUGUCGCCGAGCAACACGGACUUUCAUCUCCCCCCACAGAUUUUCUAUGGGGUUGAGGUCUGGCGACUGGCUAGGCCACUCCAGGACUUUCAAAUGCUUCUUACGGAGCCACUCCUUUGUUGCCCGGGCGGUGUGUUUGGGAUCAUUGUCGUGUUGGAAGACCCAGCCACGUUUCAUCUUCAAAGCUCUCACUGAUGGAAGGAGGUUUUGGCUCAGAAUCUCACGAUACAUGGCCCCAUUCAUUCUGUCCUUAACACGGAUCAGUCGUCCUGUCCCCUUAGCAGAAAAACAGCCCCAAAGCAUGAUGUUCCCACCCCCAUGCUUCACAGUAGGUAUGGUGUUCUUAGGAUGCAACUCAGUAUUCUGCUUCCUCCAAACACGACGAGUUGAGUUUAUACCAAAAAGUUCUACUUUGGUUUCAUCUGACCACAUGACAUUCUCCCAAUCCUCUGCUGUAUCAUCCAUGUGCUCUCUGGCAAACUUCAGACGGGCCUGGAUAUGCACUGGCUUCAGCAGCGGAACACGUCUGGCACUGCAGGAUUUGAUUCCCUGCCGUUGUAGUGUGUUACUGAUGGUGACCUUUGUUACUGUGGUCCCAGCUCUCUGCAGGUCAUUCACCAGGUCCCCCCGUGUGGUUCUGGGAUUCUUGCUCACCAUUCUCAUGAUCAUUUUGACCCCACGGGAUGAGAUCUUGCGUGGAGCCCCAGAUCGAGGGAGAUUAUCAGUGGUCUUGUAUGUCUUCCAUUUUCUGGUAAUUGCUCCCACAGUUGAUUUUUUCACACCAAGCUGCUUGCCUAUUGUAGAUUCACUCUUCCCAGUCUGGUGCAGGUCUACAAUUCUUUUCCUGGUGUCCUUCGAAAGCUCUUUCGUCUUGGCCAUAGUGGAGUUUGGAGUCUGACUGUUUGAGACUGUGGACAGGUGUCUUUUAUAGAGAUAAUGAGUUCAAACAGGUCCCAUUAAUACAAGUAACGAGUGAAGGACAGAAAAGCUUCUUAAAGAAGACGUUACAUGUCUGUGAGAGCCAGAGAUUUUCCUUGUUUGAAGUGACCAAAUACUUAUUUUCCACCCUGAUUUACAAAUAAAUUCUUUAAAAAUCCUGCCAUAUGAAUUCAUGGAUUUUUUUUCACAUUCUGUCUCUCACAGUUGGUGUACCUAUGAUGUAAAUUACUGACCUCUGUCAUCAUUUCAAGUGGGAGAACUUGCACAAUCGGUGGCUGACUAAAUACUUUUUUGCCCCACUGUAGACAUGGAUGGCGCAGGUGCAACGUGGAGGGAAUCCCCGCGAGGGGCAUGCUGGGUAAUGUGGUCCGAGACAGAAGCUGGUCAGCUGGGAGAGCCCGGCCUGGGGGCUUGGACUCUGACAGGACCCCCCGGUCCAGGGACGGCUCCCGUAGUCCCCGGGCCACCUCGGUGGGCCCAGAAGUCCGAGAUGAGGGCAGGGUCCAAGAUGGAGCGAGCCAGCUCCCAGGAGCAUUCCUCGGGGCCGUAGUCCGCCCAAUCCACAAGGUACUGCCAACCCCGACCCCGGCGGCGAGCGUCCAGAAUGCGCCGGACGGUGUAGAUGGGCUCACCGUCGAGGAAGCGGGCCGGCGGAGGCGCUGGAGCCCGAGGCGGCAGGAGUGAGGAUUCCACAUAAGGCUUGAGCCGGGAGGUGUGGUAGGUGGGAUGGACGCGAAGGCUUGUAGGCAGCCGCAGCCGUUACGUGUCCGGGUUGAUGACCUUCUGCACGGGGUAGGGUCCGAGGAACCGGGGAGCAAGCUUCCUGGAACCGGCACGGACCCGGAGGACUGCCGUGGACACCCAGACCCUGUCCCCUGGAGCAUAGGAGGGACCCGGGCGGUGCCGGCGGAGGUGUUGGUGGGAGUAACGGGCGUUGGCCCGGGUGAUUGAGGCCCGCGCCUUGAUCCAUGCGUUCUUGCAGCGCCUCACCAGGGAUUGAGCGGCCGGCACCGCGACUUUGGGUUCCUGGUGGGCAAAGACCGGAGGCUGGUAGCCAUAGCAGACCUCAAAAGGGGACAUCUGAGUGGCCGUGGAGGUGUGGAGGUUAUGAGACAGCUCCGCCCAGAGGAGGUACUUAGGCCACUGCGAGGGCUGGGCCGAGACAAAGCAGCGGAGGUACCGGCCCAACUGUUGGUUUGCCCGCUCCGUUUGACCGUUGGUCUGUGGGUGGUAGCCCGAAGACAGGCUGACAGAAGCUCCCACUAGAUGGCAGAAGGCUUUCCAGAAACGGGCCGUGAACUGGGGACCACGAUCCGAGACCACGUCAACCGGGAACCCGUGGAGACGCACCACGUUCUCCAGAAACAGUUCUGCAGUGCGUCUGGCCGAGGGGAGGCCCGGGAGGGCGAUGAAGUGAACAGCCUUGGAAAACCGGUCAGUGACAGUCAGGAUGGUGUCGAGGUUGUUGACUGGCUGGAGACCCGUGACAAAGUCCAGCCCCACAUGGGACCAGGGGCGGCUGGGCACCGGAAGAGGUCUGAGAGUGCCAACCGGAGCCUGGGUGGAUGCCUUAGAGCGGGCGCAGACGUCACAGGCGCUCGUGAAUUCCUUAACGUCCCUCUACAUACGUGGCCACCAUAGAGCCCGUUUAAGGAACCUGAGAGUCCGAGAGAAGCCUGCGUGACCUGGGGACGACGAGGGUCGGAUGAAACCCUGCCGGAGGGCCUGGUCGAUAUAGUCCUCCAUAGCUCUGGACUCGGCGGGGGAGAGAGAAAAAAAGGCGCCCCCAGGUUGGACUGGUGCCUGGCUGGAGCUUGAUCUCCAUGUCUUAUGGACGAUGAGGUGGCAAUGCGGUGGCUCGCUGCUUAUCGAACACCGCGGCCAGAUCCUGAUAGGGCGGUGGCAGAUUGGGUGGCGCCGAACCGGAGCCACCUUCCGGGCAGUCAGGUCGAGGUGGAGGAGGAGAGAGGUGGGUCCGGCACUGGACCCCCCAUUCCAGAAGGCAAGCUUGGGACCAGGAGAUCCGUGGCUUCUGGAGGCGGAGCCAGGGAAACCCCAGGAUUAGAGGAGAGGAGGGAGCACAGAUAAUCAGGAAAUGGAGGUUCUCCCGGUGCCCCUGGACAUUCAUCUGGAGAGACUGUGUUCGGUUUUGGACAGGGUAAGGCUGGAGGGGCCUGCUGUCCACCGUGGUCACUGGUACAACCCUCUCCAAGGGGGUAGUGGGGAUCCGUAGCCGUUCAGCCAGAUCCACAUCCAUAAAAUUGUCAGCGGCCCCCGAGUCCACCAGCGCGUGCAUCUGGAGCGAGGUCUCGCCAUAUUGGAGGGUGACGUGCAGAAGGAGCCGAUUGGAAAGAGCAGGGGCUGGAGGUGACCCAGGCUGAGCGACCCCGAGACUCAGUGGGUUCCUUCGUUGCCCGAACGGAGGGGGCAGUUCAUGCGUCUGUGGUCGGGGGAACCACAAUAGGCGCAGAGGCCCUCGCGCCACCGUCGCUGUCUCUCCUCCCGAGGAAGGUGGCCCAGAUGCAUGGGCUCCUCAGUGGCAACGGGUCCGGGAGCAGGCGUGGGGGGAUGAGGAAAAAGUCCAGGCGCCCUGGAUGGGCAAAUGAGAGGCUUGGGCCGAACCAAAACCCGCUGAUCCAUGCGCAACGCCAGAUCCACAACUUCAUCCAGGGUCUGGGGUUGCUACUUUCCCGCCAUCUCACCCCGGAUGUAGGUUGCCAGUCCCUCCAAGAAGACGGCUCAAAGGGCAGAGUCAUCCCACCGCAGCUUGGCGGAGAUGGUGCGGAACUCCGACGCAUAUGCGCACACAGAGCGCUCCUUCUGGCGGAGUUUUAGGAGUCGUGUCUCUGCCCCCAUUUCGCUGCUGGGUGGAACAAAAGUCUUUCUGAGGGCGGCCACGAAUGCAGCGUAGUCAUUGCACUCCGGUGAUUUGGAGUUGUAGUGUGCAGCGGCCCACUCUGCCGUGCAUCUGGAGAGCAGGGAGGUGAGCUGUGCCACCCGAGAGCGCGCAUUGGGGAAGCGUCCUGGGUGGCACUCUAACUGCAUGUCGAGGGUAGCAAGCAGACCGUGUGGACUCCCCGUCUCUCCAUUCCACUUCUCCGGGAGACUGAAGUGUGGCUCUCCCGUCGGUGGAGUGAGGGCUUGCAACUUGAGCGCAUGAACCUGCUGCUGGAGUGCCGUGACGGCAGUAGACAUCUGCAGGGAGAGAUCGUCUGGGAGUUCAGCCUGUUGUUAAGCUGGUCGACCAGGGCGUGGAGCUGAAUGUUCUCGCUAACAACCUGCUCCAACUUCCUCUUCAUCUGCUCGAACUCCGCUGGAUUGAUGGACUCAGUCAUCCUGUCAGACUCGAAGACUGGUUUCAGGAGUACGAGCUUUAUUAGAGACUGCUGGCUGCAAGCGGUGCUGGAAAGGCUGACGGAAGGAUGAGGUCUGAGUUAGACAGGUGGAGGUUGAGCUGUAUUAGCUUCUGAAUACUCUGAUCAUGGAACACGGUGGAACGAUGACUGAGUGAAGAGCCGGUGUGGCGUCUUCCAUAUAUAGACAUAGAUGACGCAGGUGCAACGUGGAGGGAAUCCCCACGAGGGGCAUGCUGGGUAAUGUGGUCCGAGACAGAAGCCGGUCAGCUGGGAGAGCCCGGCCUGGGGGCUUGGACUCUGACAAACCAUCACUAACCUGGGGGUGGUUUUGGACCCAGAGAUGCAGAUGGACUCCCACAUUAGCCAGGUGGUCAGAUCCUGCUUUUUCCAGCUUCGCCAGCUACCAAAGAUGAAGUCCAUCCUGAAAGACGUGUCAUAUUUUCUCCCCAAGCCUGACCUGACCACAGAUAUACUGCAGCUCGGUGAGUUCGUAGAUAGUGCUUGAUGUUAGAAGUCUGUAUGCCAUCAGAUACACUUGCUCUUUUUUGGGGGGGUGAGGCUUAUAUUGCAGUGCGCUCGAGUCAGUAAUUUCCGGUAAGUAUUUUAAAGCCAUAUACUUAAUUAGUUCUUUGUAUGAAGUUUUCCUCUAGGUGAUCCAGAGAGGCUUGACCUUUGGGUGAGCAACCAAAGAAGAGAGUGCUGGACUCCCAAUUCAUUCUCCCGCUUGUGCAGUGAACACUUUGAGAGUCAUCACUUCACCACGGACUCCAGGGUGGAAAUGCUGUGUGAUUCCUGUGUCCUGUGGCCCAUGACUUGUGUCAGCCCGGUUCUGGAUGUGGCCUUGCUGAGUUCUCUGUAGCAAGGUUUUCUGGCGCUUGGGGCCGUUCCAGAGUGCACCUGGUCCUUGGCGGUCUCACACUUCACAUCCCAGCACACGCACGAACACAUGCUUGUUGAUGUUUGUUGUUCAUGAUGUUUGUGGUUCAUGCUUUACAUGUUUAUAGUUGUUCAUCCCACGUUUUCUUGAUGACUCUUAGAAAUGUUUCUUCACAGGUGCAGCUGCUGGUUGCUUUUUUUAUUUUGGUUUCCUAGUUGUAUUAAUUUUUCUCUUAUUUACUUGUUUAUCCUCUAUCAGCAGUGUUUAUUCCAGAUUGGUUCAGCAUUUACAUGCUGAUGUGGCGAUACAUAACCCAAACCAAUAUUACUCAAGGGGAACCUCGUACACAUUAAGGCUCCUCUUAAUAGAGCAAAUCUGUUCAGCACAUUCUGACAGACAGACCACCAUUCUUCUGUCAUGUUGCUGUACAUGACAUUUUUAGUUUUUCUAUUUAAAAAUAAGAAGUGUUUCAUUUAAAGAGCAAUACUUUCACGUUAUCACUUUCCCACACUUUCUUUUUACCUGUAUUUUGUUGUUUUUCAAUAAAGAAUGACAAAUUA